GUAUCGCGAGCAGCAACGUCUAUCUGAGGAGCUUCAGAAGUUGUCUGCGGAACAAGCUGCAAUUCGUAAGGAUGUGAGCAAGAUGAAGCGCUUGUUGAAUAUGAUUUUUGACAAAUUAGGAUGUUGUCGGGCGGAUUUACCUCCAGGAGAUGAUUCUGAUUAGGAUUUACCGAGCUUCUCCUUUUGUCGUUUUGGCGCUUUCUGACAAAAAGGGGGAGAUGAUGGGAUGGUCUUAAUGAUGAUGAUGAUGCAUUUAGCU
This 259-nucleotide long non-coding RNA is filed under the name Ananas comosus (pineapple). RNAcentral's name for it is "long non-coding RNA (ACOM_LNC039616)". Lineage: Eukaryota; Viridiplantae; Streptophyta; Magnoliopsida; Poales; Bromeliaceae. The record is from RNAcentral.